Molecule: transfer RNA, 80 nt
Filed under: Acidobacteriota bacterium
Lineage: Bacteria; Pseudomonadati; Acidobacteriota
Description: Acidobacteria bacterium (groundwater metagenome) tRNA-Asp
Rfam family: tRNA (bases 15-77)
About the family: Transfer RNA (tRNA) molecules are approximately 80 nucleotides in length. Their secondary structure includes four short double-helical elements and three loops (D, anti-codon, and T loops).
Source: RNAcentral
GGGGUCGGCUGCGUUGGGCUGUCAUCGGUGCCGGCCUGUCACGCCGGAGGUCGCGAGUUCGAGUCUCGUCGGCCCCGCCA